This is a long non-coding RNA of Varroa destructor (honeybee mite), 239 nucleotides long. RefSeq lists it as uncharacterized. NCBI's taxonomy places the organism in Eukaryota, Metazoa, Arthropoda, Arachnida, Mesostigmata, Varroidae. The record is from RefSeq and is a predicted model, not a curated record.
CAAGUCUCUUAAUGGGCAGAGAAGUUAUCGAUCUUCGCCAUGACAGUGCCAGAUCACGUGCCUAUCUGUAGCCAUCCGGCAAAAAUGGAGAAUCCUUCAUUGUCGCCUAGAACUAGAGCAUCGAGGUGAUUUUAAGGCGUUCGUCAUGAAGACAGGUUGACAAAUCCAGACAUCGUUACGCUUGACACACGUCUUAUGAUACAUAAAUAAAGGAAUGACAGGGGUGACUUUAAUGUAUA